GACGAACGCUGGCGGCGUGCUUAACACAUGCAAGUCGAACGGAAAGGCCCUGCUUUUGUGGGGUGCUCGAGUGGCGAACGGGUGAGUAACACGUGAGUAACCUGCCCUUGACUUUGGGAUAACUUCAGGAAACUGGGGCUAAUACCGGAUAGGAGCUCCUGCUGCAUGGUGGGGGUUGGAAAGUUUCGGCGGUUGGGGAUGGACUCGCGGCUUAUCAGCUUGUUGGUGGGGUAGUGGCUUACCAAGGCUUUGACGGGUAGCCGGCCUGAGAGGGUGACCGGCCACAUUGGGACUGAGAUACGGCCCAGACUCCUACGGGGGGCAGCAGUGGAGAAUAUGGCACAAUGGGCGGAAGCCUGAUGCAGCAGCGCCGCGUGCGGGAUGACGGCCUUCGGGUUGUAAACCGCUUUCGCCUGUGACGAAGCGUGAGUGACGGUAAUGGGUAAAGAAGCACCGGCUAACUACGUG
This 468-nucleotide ribosomal RNA is filed under the name uncultured bacterium. RNAcentral's name for it is "partial 16S ribosomal RNA". It matches the Rfam family "Bacterial small subunit ribosomal RNA", at positions 28 to 507 of the family's 1533-position model. The record is from RNAcentral.